This 2926-nucleotide ribosomal RNA is filed under the name Escherichia coli. RNAcentral's name for it is "partial 23S ribosomal RNA". It matches the Rfam family "Bacterial large subunit ribosomal RNA". Lineage: Bacteria; Pseudomonadati; Pseudomonadota; Gammaproteobacteria; Enterobacterales; Enterobacteriaceae. The record is from RNAcentral.
GGGUUGUGAGGUUAAGCGACUAAGCGUACACGGUGGAUGCCCUGGCAGUCAGAGGCGAUGAAGGACGUGCUAAUCUGCGAUAAGCGUCGGUGAGGUGAUAUGAACCGUUAUAACCGGCGAUUUCCGAAUGGGGAAACCCAGUGUGUUUCGACACACUAUCAUUAACUGAAUCCAUAGGUUAAUGAGGCGAACCGGGGGAACUGAAACAUCUAAGUACCCCGAGGAAAAGAAAUCAACCGAGAUUCCCCCAGUAGCGGCGAGCGAACGGGGAGGAGCCCAGAGCCUGAAUCAGUGUGUGUGUUAGUGGAAGCGUCUGGAAAGGCGUGCGAUACAGGGUGACAGCCCCGUACACAAAAAUGCACAUAUUGUGAGCUCGAUGAGUAGGGCGGGACACGUGGUAUCCUGUCUGAAUAUGGGGGGACCAUCCUCCAAGGCUAAAUACUCCUGACUGACCGAUAGUGAACCAGUACCGUGAGGGAAAGGCGAAAAGAACCCCGGCGAGGGGAGUGAAAAAGAACCUGAAACCGUGUACGUACAAGCAGUGGGAGCCUCUUUAUGGGGUGACUGCGUACCUUUUGUAUAAUGGGUCAGCGACUUAUAUUCUGUAGCAAGGUUAACCGAAUAGGGGAGCCGAAGGGAAACCGAGUCUUAACUGGGCGUUAAGUUGCAGGGUAUAGACCCGAAACCCGGUGAUCUAGCCAUGGGCAGGUUGAAGGUUGGGUAACACUAACUGGAGGACCGAACCGACUAAUGUUGAAAAAUUAGCGGAUGACUUGUGGCUGGGGGUGAAAGGCCAAUCAAACCGGGAGAUAGCUGGUUCUCCCCGAAAGCUAUUUAGGUAGCGCCUCGUGAAUUCAUCUCCGGGGGUAGAGCACUGUUUCGGCAAGGGGGUCAUCCCGACUUACCAACCCGAUGCAAACUGCGAAUACCGGAGUAAUGUUAUCACGGGAGACACACGGCGGGUGCUAACGUCCGUCGUGAAGAGGGAAACAACCCAGACCGCCAGCUAAGGUCCCAAAGUCAUGGUUAAGUGGGAAACGAUGUGGGAAGGCCCAGACAGCCAGGAUGUUGGCUUAGAAGCAGCCAUCAUUUAAAGAAAGCGUAAUAGCUCACUGGUCGAGUCGGCCUGCGCGGAAGAUGUAACGGGGCUAAACCAUGCACCGAAGCUGCGGCAGCGACACUAUGUGUUGUUGGGUAGGGGAGCGUUCUGUAAGCCUGUGAAGGUGGCCUGUGAGGGUUGCUGGAGGUAUCAGAAGUGCGAAUGCUGACAUAAGUAACGAUAAAGCGGGUGAAAAGCCCGCUCGCCGGAAGACCAAGGGUUCCUGUCCAACGUUAAUCGGGGCAGGGUGAGUCGACCCCUAAGGCGAGGCCGAAAGGCGUAGUCGAUGGGAAACAGGUUAAUAUUCCUGUACUUGGUGUUACUGCGAAGGGGGGACGGAGAAGGCUAUGUUGGCCGGGCGACGGUUGUCCCGGUUUAAGCGUGUAGGCUGGUUUUCCAGGCAAAUCCGGAAAACCAAGGCUGAGGCGUGAUGACGAGGCACUACGGUGCUGAAGCGACAAAUGCCCUGCUUCCAGGAAAAGCCUCUAAGCAUCAGGUAACAUCAAAUCGUACCCCAAACCGACACAGGUGGUCAGGUAGAGAAUACCAAGGCGCUUGAGAGAACUCGGGUGAAGGAACUAGGCAAAAUGGUGCCGUAACUUCGGGAGAAGGCACGCUGAUAUGUAGGUGAAGCGACUUGCUCGUGGAGCUGAAAUCAGUCGAAGAUACCAGCUGGCUGCAACUGUUUAUUAAAAACACAGCACUGUGCAAACACGAAAGUGGACGUAUACGGUGUGACGCCUGCCCGGUGCCGGAAGGUUAAUUGAUGGGGUUAGCGGCAACGCGAAGCUCUUGAUCGAAGCCCCGGUAAACGGCGGCCGUAACUAUAACGGUCCUAAGGUAGCGAAAUUCCUUGUCGGGUAAGUUCCGACCUGCACGAAUGGCGUAAUGAUGGCCAGGCUGUCUCCACCCGAGACUCAGUGAAAUUGAACUCGCUGUGAAGAUGCAGUGUACCCGCGGCAAGACGGAAAGACCCCGUGAACCUUUACUAUAGCUUGACACUGAACAUUGAGCCUUGAUGUGUAGGAUAGGUGGGAGGCUUUGAAGUGUGGACGCCAGUCUGCAUGGAGCCGACCUUGAAAUACCACCCUUUAAUGUUUGAUGUUCUAACGUUGGCCCGUAAUCCGGGUUGCGGACAGUGUCUGGUGGGUAGUUUGACUGGGGCGGUCUCCUCCUAAAGAGUAACGGAGGAGCACGAAGGUUGGCUAAUCCUGGUCGGACAUCAGGAGGUUAGUGCAAUGGCAUAAGCCAGCUUGACUGCGAGCGUGACGGCGCGAGCAGGUGCGAAAGCAGGUCAUAGUGAUCCGGUGGUUCUGAAUGGAAGGGCCAUCGCUCAACGGAUAAAAGGUACUCCGGGGAUAACAGGCUGAUACCGCCCAAGAGUUCAUAUCGACGGCGGUGUUUGGCACCUCGAUGUCGGCUCAUCACAUCCUGGGGCUGAAGUAGGUCCCAAGGGUAUGGCUGUUCGCCAUUUAAAGUGGUACGCGAGCUGGGUUUAGAACGUCGUGAGACAGUUCGGUCCCUAUCUGCCGUGGGCGCUGGAGAACUGAGGGGGGCUGCUCCUAGUACGAGAGGACCGGAGUGGACGCAUCACUGGUGUUCGGGUUGUCAUGCCAAUGGCACUGCCCGGUAGCUAAAUGCGGAAGAGAUAAGUGCUGAAAGCAUCUAAGCACGAAACUUGCCCCGAGAUGAGUUCUCCCUGAGACUUAGAGUCUCCUGAAGGAACGUUGAAGACGACGACGUUGAUAGGCCGGGUGUGUAAGCGCAGCGAUGCGUUGAGCUAACCGGUACUAAUGAACCGUGAGGCUUAACCUUACAACGCCGAAG